AACGAACGCUGGCGGCAUGCCUAACACAUGCAAGUCGAACGAGACCUCCGGGUCUAGUGGCGCACGGGGGCGUAACGCGUGGGAACCUGCCCUUAGGUUCGGAAUAACUCCCCGAAAGGGGUGCUAAUACCGGAUAAUGUCUUCGGACCAAGGAUUUAUCGCCUUUGGGUGGGCCCGCGUUGGUUUAGCUAGUUGGUAGCGUAAAAGCCUACCACGGCGACGAUCGAUAGCUGGUCUGAGAGGAUGAUCCGCCACACUGGGACUGAGACACGGCCCAGACUCUUACGGGAGGCAGCAGUGGCUAAUAUUGGACAAUGGGCGAAAGCCUGAUCCAGCAAUGCCGCGUGAGUGAUGAAGUCCUUAGAGUUGUAAAGCUCUUUUACCCGGGAUGAUAAUGACAGUACCGGGAGAAUAAGCUCCGGCUAACUCCGUG
This 433-nucleotide ribosomal RNA is filed under the name uncultured bacterium. Its description in RNAcentral is "partial 16S ribosomal RNA". It matches the Rfam family "Bacterial small subunit ribosomal RNA", at positions 29 to 507 of the family's 1533-position model. The record is from RNAcentral.